CAGGUUUACCUGUGUGACUGCGUACCUUUUGUAUAAUGGGUCAGCGACUUAUAUUCUGUAGCAAGGUUAACCGAAUAGGGGAGCCGGAGGGAAACCGAGUCUUAACCGGGCGUUAAGUUGCAGGGUAUAGACCCGAAACCCGGUGAUCUAGCCAUGGGCAGGUUGAAGGUUGGGUAACACUAACUGGAGGACCGAACCGACUAAUGUUGAAAAAUUAGCGGAUGACCUGUGGCUGGGGGUGAAAGGCCAAUCAAACCGGGAGAUAGCUGGUUCUCCCCGAAAGCUAUUUAGGUAGCGCCUCGUGAAUUCAUCUCCGGGGGUAGAGCACUGUUUCGGCUAGGGGGCCAUCCCGGCUUACCAACCCGAUGCAAACUGCGAAUACCGGAGAAUGUUAUCACGGGAGACACACGGCGGGUGCUAACGUCCGUCGUGAAGAGGGAAACAACCCAGACCGCCAGCUAAGGUCCCAAAGUCAUGGUUAAGUGGGAAACGAUGUGGGAAGGCCCAGACAGCCAGGAUGUUGGCUUAGAAGCAGCCAUCAUUUAAAGAAAGCGUAAUAGCUCACUGGUCGAGUCGGCCUGCGCGGAAGAUGUAACGGGGCUAAACCAUGCACC
RNAcentral lists this ribosomal RNA (614 nucleotides) under Salmonella enterica subsp. enterica serovar Agbeni. RNAcentral describes it as "partial 23S ribosomal RNA". It matches the Rfam family "Bacterial large subunit ribosomal RNA", at positions 580 to 1195 of the family's 2925-position model. Lineage: Bacteria; Pseudomonadati; Pseudomonadota; Gammaproteobacteria; Enterobacterales; Enterobacteriaceae. The record is from RNAcentral.